UGGGGAAUUUUGGACAAUGGGCGAAAGCCUGAUCCAGCAAUGCCGCGUGAGUGAAGAAGGCCUUCGGGUUGUAAAGCUCUUUUGUCAGGGAAGAAACGGUGAGAGCUAAUAUCUUUUGUUAAUGACGGUACCUGAAGAAUAAGCACCGGCUAACUACGUGCCAGCAGCCGCGGUAGUACGUAGGGUGCAAGUGUUAAUCGGAAUUACUGGGCGUAAAGCGUGCGCAGGCGGUUUUGUAAGUCUGAUGUGAAAUCCCCGGGCUCAACCUGGGAAUUGCAUUGGAGACUGCAAGGCUAGAAUCUGGCAGAGGGGGGUAGAAUCCCACGUGUAGCAGUGAAAUGCGUAGAUAUGUGGAGGAACACCGAUGGCGAAGGCAGCCCCCUGGGUCAAGAUUGACGCUCAUGUACGAAAGCGUGGGGAGCAAACAGGAUUAGAUACCCUGGUAGUCCACGCCCUAAACGAUGUCUACUAGUUGUCGGGUCUUAAUUGACUUGGUAACGCAGCUAACGCGUGAAGUGGACCGCCUGGGG
This 530-nucleotide ribosomal RNA is filed under the name uncultured bacterium. Its description in RNAcentral is "partial 16S ribosomal RNA". It matches the Rfam family "Bacterial small subunit ribosomal RNA", at positions 355 to 878 of the family's 1533-position model. The record is from RNAcentral.